Molecule: transfer RNA, 63 nt
Filed under: Spirobranchus giganteus
Lineage: Eukaryota; Metazoa; Annelida; Polychaeta; Sabellida; Serpulidae
Description: tRNA-Glu
Source: RNAcentral
GUUUCCAUAGAAUAUUAAGUUCUCCAAUUUUUCACAUUGGAAGUACCGGUUAGGUUGGAAGUU